UGUCUGCAAUGGCCUAGUAAAAGUUGAAAAGUUUGACAAAAAUGCUACAGUUAUUUUCAGGUCCUCUCCAAGUCUGGCGAGACCCUGUACAAAGACCAAACAAUAUUUUAUAAAUUUUCAUCUACCCGCUCCUCCCUCUUUCUCUCGAUUUCUCGUUUAUUCUCCAAAAUCCUCAAAUUUCUUUUCUCUUUCUUUCUCCUGAACUGCUUCUUCAUCCAGUUGCCCUUCUUCAACCCGCAGCCCCCAUUCAGGUCCAGUGGUCGCCUUCUCCAGUAGACCCCAUCGUCUUCGAGCUCUCCAAACCAGGUCAAAUCAAUUGCUUAGCAUUUGCUUGCUCCAUGAAUCACGCCGAAGGUUCUCCUUCCACGAACCUCCCUCUUCUCCGGUGCAAGGUAUGCACUCUAAUGUUGUGACUUUGCCAAAGGCUAGCAUAUGGCAAGAGGCUGCGCGGAUUGUUGGUGAAGAAGGAUUCAGAGUUUUUUGGAAGGGGAAUCUGAUUACAAUUGCUCAUCUUCUACCUUAUUCUUCUAUCAAUUUUUAUGCAUUUGACCACUAUAAAAAGGUUGGUAGAAACAAGCAUAUAUAUGUCUGUCUCUGUUUGUGUUUGUGAUCCAUAGUUAUCAGGAAAUUGCUUCUAAUCAUGCCUUUAUGCCCUGGUCAAUGACUAAACUGUAUUUAAUGUGAUACAACUACUAAAGAUGAUUUCAGAACUGGAGAGCCGAAGAGAAAAUAUGGGUGUGGACAUUUGUGUACAUUUUGUAGCUGGUGGUUUGGCAGGAAUAACAGCUGCUUCAGUUCCUUUGGUAUACUCAAGAAUAAGUUGUGGGGUUAGGGGGAGAGAUGCACGAGGUCUAAAGUGGAGUGAAUUUGUUAGUUAUGAACUUGUUUGUACUGGUUUGAUACUGAAAUGUGAAAGAAUUGCUAGUUGAAGACUAGAAAUGUUGGUGGAAUGUUAUUGUAGGCCACCGAAUUGUAGGCCUUUGUAUUAUAGGUUGAUGUUAUGAAAUGUUAUUAUUGAUCUUUUUUUCAUA
Molecule: long non-coding RNA, 1031 nt
Organism: Carya illinoinensis
Lineage: Eukaryota; Viridiplantae; Streptophyta; Magnoliopsida; Fagales; Juglandaceae
Exons: 3
Source: RefSeq, a predicted model, not a curated record